Molecule: small nucleolar RNA, 121 nt
Organism: Pteropus vampyrus (large flying fox)
Lineage: Eukaryota; Metazoa; Chordata; Mammalia; Chiroptera; Pteropodidae
Source: Ensembl
GAGUUUACUGUGGCAGAUGAUCAAAACUGUCUGACACAAUUUGAGCUUGCGAUAGCAAGAAAGUUGAACCUCUUCCAAUGUUCUCUUCCAUGAGACAAGCCGUCAUAUAGACUUAAACAGC